AAGAAAGCUGCCUCAGAGGUAAAUGAUUGAAGUUUGGCAGAAGGAGCCUCUGUCCUGACACCACUGUAGACUCGGCUGCCAAGUGCUGAGUCCACCAUGCCUUGAAAUUCUGAGGCAGCAUGCAAUGAGUCAACACAGCCUCAGGGUGCUCACAGAUUGCAUUUAGUGACCCAAGUGACUUGUCCUCUCCUUCACCAGGGAAAAGCACAUUAUUUGAACUUGGGAAUGUCUGCCUACUAAAUGCAAAAGAGAAGUAUUUUUUCACCUUAAACUCAUGUAUAUUUUUCCCCAUAUUUUUUUUUAUGAAAGAAUUUUAGUAGCUGCAUUAAUAAGAAUGCUUACUAUAACAAAAUAAGAAUAAUUCAGAUCCAAAGUCAAAUAAUGAAAGACCUCUUGCACUGUAAUGUAUUUUUUCUGUACUGUUUUUAAUUUUCAUCCUUUUAAAUACUUACUACUGUUUAUGGCUUCAAAAAGCAUGAGAAAAUCUCAUGUGCUCUUUCAGAAUGUGAUAGUGAAAAAAAUUCUUGGAAUAAUAAUGCAAUUCAAUUUCAUUUCCAAAAGUAUACAACAAUUUUUGUAUCUUCUCUGUUUCUCUGUUUUACAAAGAGUCUUGAGGGAAAGUAAGCAAAAAUGUUGUUUGAUUAUGUUUUGUUUAAGAAUAUCCCACUGAGGAAAAUGUUAUGUUUCUUGCUCCUUUUCUGACCACCACCCAUCACCAAACCAGAGCCAAAACCAAAAUCUAAGUAAUGCUGUGGUGCUGGGUUUUUAUUAAUAGGUAAACAGACCCCAUCCAUAUGACAUCUAUUUAAAUAUACUACUAACACCUGUUGCAUUCUCUUUAGUAAAAGGAAUGCUUUCUUGAUUUCAUUUUCAUAAUCCCCCAAAAGCUCUUGCCUUCAAAUUAAGUUCUUAUAUUUCUAAUUCUUACAUUUUAUAUGGCAUCCAAAUUAGUUGUAUACCUGUAAGUUUCACAGUGCAUUCACUCUGACACAUUCUCAGAAAUAAAUUUUUGCUUACUUAUUUAUUCAUGUCUAUAUUUUCUACAUUUUUGUUAGACAUUAAUGUAAAAUACUACAUGAUAUCUUUUUAUCCUGAAACUAAGAAUAAAUAUAUGAAUGUAUAUGUAUAUUUCAGCAACUUCAACUCUCUCACCUGAAUUAUUUUCCAAAUUUGGCAAAUUAAACUUUAACUCUUGGUAAUAUUUUCAAGUAUUUCAGAUAUACUUGCUAUAUGAACAAAUAAAGAAAAUUAUUAUGGAGAGAAAAAAUGUUUCUGCUUUACAAGAAUUUUGUUCUUGAGUGUUUAUUUUUCUUGCAAAAGCAAGAAAUGUUUGGGUAUUCAGUGAUGCCUUCAGAGGUUACGCAUCCUGAAGCAUAUUAAAUGUAUUUCUUUAAAAAAAUAUACAUUGUGAAAAUUAUGUUAUUCAUUUUAGAGAAAUUGUUUGCAUGAUAACCAUACAAUAGAUCUUUUAUUUUUCAAGGUGUGUCAUUUCCAGGCAACAGUGUUAUGUUGAGUCUUUGUUGACAUUCUAAUGUUGAAGAGCUAAUCUAGUUGUAAUACGUGAUUACAUGAGCCCUAGGUAGAGUGGAGUUGGUGGACUCUAGGGGUGGACUUCACUGUGCAGGAACCUCCCAAAUUCUCAUGCCCUGAUGACCUUCAACCAGUCAUGCACCAUGGCUGUUCUUGGGAACUUGCUCACAGAUGCAGCUGCCGUACUCUUCAGGGCUAGGAACAAUGUGUGAUUGAUGGGCUGAAAGAUUUAAAUCCUCUUUUCGUCUAAGUACCAGGUACCACCAGUCAAUGCCUACUGUAAGUUUGAAAGAUACUGAUACUUUUAGAUUCUUAGAAAAAAUAAGAAGAAAAAAAGCAUUGCUAGCAGCAAAAGCAGUUGCUGAUACAAAAUCAGUACCUUGAUAAAAAACAAAGAAAUGCAAAUGUACUCAGAUUCUGGCAACUGGACCUACACAGACUGAUUGUGGCACCAGGUUUCAAAAACAUGGAUCUGAUUAUAGAAGCAUGACUGAAAUGGAAAGAUCUGGAGUUCAAGUGCAAAUGCAUGGAUCCCAUUUACAUCAAGUGGAGCUACAUUCACCUGUGGGUAUUCUAGGCAGAAACUGUGCUAUGCUUUAUAGCUGUAAAAUAUUCAGCUUUGUACAGCUGCAAUAGUGACACUUGGGUGCUGCUAUUGUAAUAAACAAGAAUUAUAGAAUAUAACAUUGAAAAACUAUGUAUGUGUAUGUUAUCAUUUCUUACAAACUUCCUUGCCUUCUUAUGUUUCCCUUAUUUGAGAUGAGAAAACAGAAGAUUACGCUUGGGAAAAUCUGCCAGGACUGACAAUUUUUUUCUCUAGCAAGACCAAGAAUGGAACAAAACUGACAUGCCUGGAAGGCUUAGCCUGGGCAAGGGGAACCAGUGAAACACUGUGUCACAACCCUGUGCAAAUCUGACCUAGUGGGUGUCCUUACACCAUACAACCCCCAAUCUAGAAGGUUCAAACACAAGAAUAUUGAUGCAGAACAAUGACACAUCUCUGCAGUGGAAAAAUGGAACCCCAAAUUUCCUACCCCAACACAGCAGGGGUACUUCAGCAGUCAGCACGGUGUAUGUUGUAACGAUGUGCUUCAAUAAACAACUCCAGUUUUCAGAGCUCACCCGCGUAUUUGAUUCUUCAACUGCUUGGUUGAUUCAAAGGGAAUCUUUCUUCUCUUUGCCUUUGCUCAAUCUGAUCAGGGUUUUCACUCCCACAUAACAAAGCAGCGUGUAAACACACAACUUGUUCAUCUUUCCACUGGGAAUGAUCUGAACCCCCUCUCCUCCUUCACCUGUCAUUCUGGUUAUCAAAGAUGCAACAUGUAAAAACAACUGUACCCCAUCAGAUUAAAGGUCCAUCUAGUUUAGUUCCUAAUGAUACCUGACAUCAGAUGCCUGGGGAAGAGGGAAAGGAUUCAACAAAUAUAUAGGAAUACUUUUUCAGGAUUCUUUCAGUCUACAGCAAUUUGAAACUCAGGAUUCCUUUCUGAGACAGAAAGUGCAUCAUUCCGUGUAAUGGCCUUGUUAGGUAUUUCUUUCUUACUUUCUUCCAAUAAUUUUUUGAAGUGAUAUAAACUUAAUAUGCACAACACUGUAGGACAGGAAGCUUUAUGACAUAAUGACAUGUGUUGAAGACUGCUUCAUUUUAUUUAUUUUGGACUAUCUUGAUUUAUUACUCUCUUGGAUUUGAGCUAAUGAGGAGCAAUUAUUUGUCCCACAAGCCCAGUUCCCUUAACCUGUCUUCACACAUUAUGUGCUCCAGUCCCCAGCCACAUUAGCAGAUCUUCACUGGAUCCUUUCAGUAUAUCAAUGUCUCUUUUGCACCUGGAGGCCCAAAACUCAUCAAGUCAUUCACACACAGCCCUAUAACUGCCAAGGAGAGAACAUCAGACACAUGGGGUAUAUAGCGCAAGUGUUGAGUAGUUGUUCAAAGUUCAGCAUCCUUCAGCAAGUCACAGACGAAGGGCAGAUACACACAGGCUGCUGAAGUUCUACAGCUAACAGAAAGAGGGCAAAGGACAAACUGCUAGUCCAAAAGUCAAAUGGCAUAAUUAGUUUACAACCAUAGUGCUGUGAACUAGCUCACACUGGAGCAGGGUGGCUUGAUCCACAGUAUUCAGCCUCUGGAUGUCUAUUUGGCAGCUCUGUGGCCCUAAAUGUAAAUUGCUCUUUUGUGUGACUUUUUCAUUUCAGAGUGCCACAAGUAAUUUCAGGAUUUUACUACAGCCCUCCAGAACUGUGUUUUUACAAUAUAAAACUGGGUGUAUGUAUGGCAUGAAAAACUGUUGCAUAAUGGUCUAAAACUCCUGUUACACGAAUUAAUGUACACUGUUUCUAGCUGCUGGAGGUGAAUGAAACAAUUUUUACUCGCUGUGUGUUACAGAUAUGUAUGGACUGAAUCAUCUGACAUGAAGUAGUGGAUACCUUACCACUUACUGCACAUUAAUGCAUCAAUUUUCUCAACUAAAUUGCCAUUUAGGCAAUAUUUUAUGGAUUUAGAAUAUGUACUGGAAAUAAGCAAUAGUAUUGUUG
Long non-coding RNA from Falco peregrinus (peregrine falcon), 4062 nucleotides. RefSeq lists it as uncharacterized. Lineage: Eukaryota; Metazoa; Chordata; Aves; Falconiformes; Falconidae. The transcript is spliced from 5 exons. The record is from RefSeq and is a predicted model, not a curated record.